RNAcentral lists this long non-coding RNA (784 nucleotides) under Eutrema salsugineum. Its description in RNAcentral is "long non-coding RNA (ESAL_LNC000708)". The record is from RNAcentral. Lineage: Eukaryota; Viridiplantae; Streptophyta; Magnoliopsida; Brassicales; Brassicaceae.
GUAAUUCUUUUUUUUUUAUGAUGAUGAAAAGUUGUUGCAUCAGAGAAUCAACUGGCUGAUGGGAAUUUUGGUAAAGCCUAUUGUUGCGCUCAGUCCAAAUUGCAUAUAUCGAAGCCUGCCAAGCUAGUCUAGCAAGAUAUAUUUGGUGAGGAUUGCCAGAGAUGGAGAGAACAGUGUCGAAGACACUAGUCCAAGAGUAGUUUAAUGCAGAGAUUCCAAACUUUCCUGCAAACUGAUCCCAUAAAGAGGAGGAGAAACUCAUUCAAAAUAAGAUGGUCCCUUGAUUCAGAGGCCUGGUUGCAGAGGAGACAAAGAUAAUCAGUAUGUAGUACCCAAGGUAAAAAACGAUUAUGAGUCGAGAAUCGAUUAAGCAUGAAUAGCCAAGCCAUAUUUUUGUGUUUUGGGAUCCCUUUCUUAAUCCAGAUAAUUGAGUGCCAAGCGACCUGAGGAUGAGAAUCUCUGAUUGUAUCGUAGAUUGAGCUCGAACAGAAGGUACUCUUUACAAUCACCCACUAUAAUUGAUCUUUGUCCUCUGAUAAUGCGACCAUCGUUAGAUGAAAGAACACCUGUUCAGUCCGAGGUGAUCUAGCGGAAGGAAGCCGCCAUUCGUUUUCUUGCCAUAAGGAAGCCACAUAUUCAUUAAUGUUGAUGCCAGCCACUUUGGGUCCUUGAUCACCAAUGAACCUGAUCAAAGGACCAAAAGGAGUCCAUGGAUCAGUCAAGAAUCAGCACCUCAAACCAUUCCCAUGUAUAAUUCACACCCAAUGAAUUACUGUGUCUCUCA